Molecule: unclassified non-coding RNA, 386 nt
Filed under: soil metagenome
Description: partial contains 5.8S ribosomal RNA, internal transcribed spacer 2, and large subunit ribosomal RNA
Rfam family: 5.8S ribosomal RNA (bases 1-120)
Source: RNAcentral
GAUGAAGAACGCAGCGAAAUGCGAUAAGUAAUGUGAAUUGCAGAAUUCAGUGAAUCAUCGAAUCUUUGAACGCACCUUGCGCUCCUUGGUAUUCCGAGGAGCAUGCCUGUUUGAGUGUCAUGAAAUUCUCAACCUUUUCAGCUUUCUUUGUUGAUCAGGCUUGGAUGUGGGAGUAUGCGGGCUUCUCAGAAGUCGGCUCUCCUGAAAUGCAUUAGCGGGACCUUUGUUGCCUGGCUUUGGUGUGAUAAUUAUCUACGCCAUUGUAGUCAAGCAGCUUAAAAUGAGGUUUCAGCUUCUAACCGUCUCCCCUGAGACAACUUUUUGACAAUUUGACCUCAAAUCAGGUAGGACUACCCGCUGAACUUAAGCAUAUCAAUAAGCGGAGA